AGGAGACCGAGGGGUCGGCCCUGCGCCGGCAGGAGCCGAGAGCGACCCUCACCCGGCUUCGGACACGAGCAUCCAGUAGGAGAGCGGGGCUCCCGUCCGUGCCGCUCCUGCGCGACCACCUCCCCUGCCCAGAAUCUGCCCCGUUCUCCCUCUCCUCUCAUCCCUCUAGCUCCUACAGCGCACCCGAGAGGCCCCUGAAGAAAGCCCGCUGAGGGGUGGGGAGACGGAGAGACGGAUGGGCGGACAGAUGGACGGGCAGAUGGAGGGAUGGAGGAUGGAUGGACAUAUGGACAGACAGACCAAUGGAUGGGCAGAAGGAUGGACAGGCAGGUGGAGGGGAGGGUGGAGGAUGGAUGGAGGGAUGGACAGAUGGACAGAUAAACAGGCAGAUGGAUGGAUGGAGGAUGGGUGCAGAGCUGGACAGAUGGAGGGAUGGAUGGAUGGACAGAUGGACGGAUGGAUGGGCAGGCAGAUAAAUGGAUGAAUGGGCAGAUAGACAGAAAGAUGCCUGGACAGAGGGAUAGACUGUGAACUGGACCACAUGUGCCUUUUGACCAGAGAGAAAGGAAUGGUCAACUAAAGCCUGGCAAACAAGCGUGUCGUGAGACCCGAGGGUCGGUUUCAGAGAAGCCGGGGCAGGGGACACCGAUGCAAAGUGUCUGCAUGAGAACCAGCGCAUGGGAAAAACUGCACAACUCCGACCCCCGAUCCUGAGACCAGGGAGCCCGACCGGGCCAGAAAAGGCCCCUUUUGGGCCCCAGCAACAGGAUGACUGGCUGCCCGACUGGGAGUCUGUGCUGGGAAGGGUCUGUCGUUUUUUUCUAUAAAACAGGGAAUGGGGGAAAAAUACAAAUAACUAAAUAAAUAAAACGGGGGGUGGGGGUGGGGUGGGAUGAAGAGGUAAAAUAAGCAGCUUUUGCUGGAAGAGCAGAAGGCCACGGAACCCGAGCACAGUACUGGUGACUGAUCGAGGGGCUGCUGGGCCCUGGCAGUGGCUCCCGGAAACAAGGGGAGGGGAAGCUGAGCAGGAAAACAAAGGUCCCAAGGUCCUGGCCCGGGGCCGAGGGACAUUGUGGUGCGAGAACACCCCGGGCCCCACGGUGGAGGGCCUUGAGUGCCGAGCUCCCGAGCUCAGCAUCGCCAGGGAAGGCUCACGCAGACGGGUCUGAGAUGGACUGCAGACGAGGAAGAGGAAGGGGCGGGGCGGGAGGUGACUGGGGCGCGGCAUGGGGAGGGGGCAGCCAAAGAAAUGGGCCAGAGGGGCGCAGGGAGGGGGCCGGGGGCUCGCUCUGAUCUCCGCGUCUGGGGGAUGACGUUCGCAGUAGCCUUGGGCAGACCAAGCUCAGGGGCCAGGAGGGAGAAGGGGAACAGAGCCGGGCACGGGGCCGAGGGGGCAGGAGCAAGCACAGAGGGAGAGGGCGGGGGGUUCAGGCCAGGGCCAAGGUGGCCACGAGGGCCACGAAGCGGCGAAAGCGCCGGACAAGGGGAGGCUCAGAGAGAGGGUCUGACACCCCGGAGCCACCCUUGGGCCGGAUCGCCAGGGAACCAGGGCUCCGGAGGAAAGAAUGAGAUGGAAACAAGCAAAAGGAAGCUUCCUGAGAAACAGAAUCCUGGGACCCAGCAGAGGCUGAACAGAACCGAGAGCCCCCAGGAGGCAACAAGUGAACAAACUCCCGGAGGCUGCGUCCCAAUCAAUCACUGCCAGAGACCAUGUCCUUGGGGGACAUGCCAGAGACCAUGUCCUUGGAAUCAAAGAGCUAAAGAAGAAUGUAAUCGCCUGCACAUAAAUUCUGAAGCUACAACCUUAUCGUAAACAAACUAUACACCCUAAACUCCUGAGACAAGAUGAUGUGUGUCCCAGAAAAUUGGCCCUAUCAGCCCAGGUGCAAGAUAACAAUUAGGCUCCAGGAUGUCUGCCACACAUCUGGUGUGACAUUCUUUACUUUGCAACCCCCCAUUCAGAAAUGUAUUUAACUAGACCCUCUUCACUCAUUAAACUGAGACUUUGUUUCACCCCAA
This is a long non-coding RNA of Antechinus flavipes (yellow-footed antechinus), 2019 nucleotides long. RefSeq lists it as uncharacterized. The transcript is spliced from 2 exons. The record is from RefSeq and is a predicted model, not a curated record. Lineage: Eukaryota; Metazoa; Chordata; Mammalia; Dasyuromorphia; Dasyuridae.